Molecule: regulatory RNA element, 64 nt
Organism: Acidithiobacillus ferrooxidans ATCC 23270
Lineage: Bacteria; Pseudomonadati; Pseudomonadota; Acidithiobacillia; Acidithiobacillales; Acidithiobacillaceae
Rfam family: Fluoride riboswitch aptamer (crcB RNA motif)
Source: Rfam
AAAACGUGUGGCGAUGGAGUCCGCCCAAUAACCGCCUUUAUAGGCUGAUGACUGCUACUGAUCC